AUUGAACGCUGGCGGCAGGCCUAACACAUGCAAGUCGAACGAGUGGCGGACGGGUGAGUAAUGUCUGGGAAACUGCCUGAUGGAGGGGGAUAACUACUGGAAACGGUAGCUAAUACCGCAUACCAUCAGAUGUGCCCAGAUGGGAUUAGCUAGUUGGUGGGGUAACGGCUCACCAAGGCGACGAUCCCUAGCUGGUCUGAGAGGAUGACCAGCAACACUGGAACGGAGACACGGUCCAGACUCCUACGGGAGGCAGAAGGGGGGAAUUUUGGACAAUGGGCGAAAGCCUGAUGCAGCCAUGCGGCGUGUAUGAGGAAGGCCUUCGGGUUGUAAAGUACUUUCAGCGGGGAGGCGUUACCCGAAGAGGAAGCCCCGGCUAACUCCGUGCCAGCAGCCGCGGUAAUUC
RNAcentral lists this ribosomal RNA (406 nucleotides) under uncultured bacterium. RNAcentral's name for it is "partial 16S ribosomal RNA". It matches the Rfam family "Bacterial small subunit ribosomal RNA", at positions 30 to 526 of the family's 1533-position model. The record is from RNAcentral.